AUGAGGGGCCUGGUUUAGAACAUUCGGCGGUUUGGGCAACUGGAUCGAAGGCGGCAACUAAUCGAGUACAUUAGGGACCAACGCAUUGACUUCUUGGGCCUGCAAGAAACGAUUCGGUCGUUCUUCUCUCAAGUAGAGUUGGACUCGCUUGGUGGGACCAUGGGUUUCCAGUGGGAGUGGGUCCCGGCGUCUGGCCGUUCGGGAGGCAUCCUCCUUGGGGUUAACAGGGAGACUUUCGAAGUUCUAUCAUAUUCGAGGGGCAACUUCUUCAUUGGAGUGGAGAUGAUCCAACGAGAUAUUAACUUUAAGUGGGAAUUAGUAGUGGUGUACGGACCGGCGGGCCACUCCAGGUCCCAGGACUUUUUGCGUGAAUUACAUGACAAAGUGCGUCAGUCGGCGAACCCUUUGGUCAUAGCUGGAGACUUUAACCUUAUUAGGUCAAGAGAGGAUAAAAGCAACCAGGUUAUUAAUGAUCAACAUCUUCUAGGUGUGUUUAAUGAGUGGGUGGCAGAUUUGGAGCUUAUUGAGCUGUAG
This 534-nucleotide ribosomal RNA is filed under the name Triticum aestivum (bread wheat). RNAcentral describes it as "partial small subunit ribosomal RNA". Lineage: Eukaryota; Viridiplantae; Streptophyta; Magnoliopsida; Poales; Poaceae. The record is from RNAcentral.